CCAAGUACCAAAUUAGCCAGAGAUUUCUUAUAAGUUGACAGCUUUCUCAAGCCACAAAAUGCUUCGGGUACAGGUUUCCCUUCAGGAAAGUCAGACUCAUAUCCUUGGAAGGAAUUAAAAUGUUUGUCAAGCAGGCUCCUCCUCAUAAAAAAUGCCCGUCCCGACAUUUUCCAAGAUUCUUCUGUUCAAGUCAAGUGAAUACUGAAGAUGUCCUUCAUGGGUGGCCUCGUCUCUAGUCUAUUCUCAGAAAAGAGCUGCCAUUUACCAUCCAUCACCUACCACAAUUAGGUUUAUACCACGAGCUCCAGCCCCCCACCUCACUAUAGCUGACUGUAGCAGCUAAUCUUUAAACUAUUCAGUAGCCC
RNAcentral lists this long non-coding RNA (365 nucleotides) under Equus caballus (horse). RNAcentral describes it as "lncRNA (ENSECAG00000042751.2)". Lineage: Eukaryota; Metazoa; Chordata; Mammalia; Perissodactyla; Equidae. The record is from RNAcentral.